This 477-nucleotide ribosomal RNA is filed under the name uncultured organism. RNAcentral's name for it is "partial 16S ribosomal RNA". It matches the Rfam family "Bacterial small subunit ribosomal RNA", at positions 329 to 797 of the family's 1533-position model. The record is from RNAcentral.
ACGUACACUCCUACGGGAGGCAGCAGUGGGGAAUAUUGCACAAUGGGCGCAAGCCUGAUGCAGCCAUGCCGCGUGUAUGAAGAAGGCCUUCGGGUUGUAAAGUACUUUCAGCGGGGAGGAAGGCAAUACGGUUAAUAACCGUGUUGAUUGACGUUACCCGCAGAAGAAGCACCGGCUAACUCCGUGCCAGCAGCCGCGGUAAUACGGAGGGUGCAAGCGUUAAUCGGAAUUACUGGGCGUAAAGCGCACGCAGGCGGUCUGUCAAGUCGGAUGUGAAAUCCCCGGGCUCAACCUGGGAACUGCAUUCGAAACUGGCAGGCUUGAGUCGUGUAGAGGGGGGUAGAAUUCCAGGUGUAGCGGUGAAAUGCGUAGAGAUCUGGAGGAAUACCGGUGGCGAAGGCGGCCCCCUGGACAAAGACUGACGCUCAGGUGCGAAAGCGUGGGGAGCAAACAGGAUUAGAAACCCUUGUAGUCCCA